RNAcentral lists this ribosomal RNA (880 nucleotides) under Escherichia coli. Its description in RNAcentral is "partial 23S ribosomal RNA". It matches the Rfam family "Bacterial large subunit ribosomal RNA", at positions 406 to 1285 of the family's 2925-position model. The record is from RNAcentral. Lineage: Bacteria; Pseudomonadati; Pseudomonadota; Gammaproteobacteria; Enterobacterales; Enterobacteriaceae.
CGAUGAGUAGGGCGGGACACGUGGUAUCCUGUCUGAAUAUGGGGGGACCAUCCUCCAAGGCUAAAUACUCCUGACUGACCGAUAGUGAACCAGUACCGUGAGGGAAAGGCGAAAAGAACCCCGGCGAGGGGAGUGAAAAAGAACCUGAAACCGUGUACGUACAAGCAGUGGGAGCACGCUUAGGCGUGUGACUGCGUACCUUUUGUAUAAUGGGUCAGCGACUUAUAUUCUGUAGCAAGGUUAACCGAAUAGGGGAGCCGAAGGGAAACCGAGUCUUAACUGGGCGUUAAGUUGCAGGGUAUAGACCCGAAACCCGGUGAUCUAGCCAUGGGCAGGUUGAAGGUUGGGUAACACUAACUGGAGGACCGAACCGACUAAUGUUGAAAAAUUAGCGGAUGACUUGUGGCUGGGGGUGAAAGGCCAAUCAAACCGGGAGAUAGCUGGUUCUCCCCGAAAGCUAUUUAGGUAGCGCCUCGUGAAUUCAUCUCCGGGGGUAGAGCACUGUUUCGGCAAGGGGGUCAUCCCGACUUACCAACCCGAUGCAAACUGCGAAUACCGGAGAAUGUUAUCACGGGAGACACACGGCGGGUGCUAACGUCCGUCGUGAAGAGGGAAACAACCCAGACCGCCAGCUAAGGUCCCAAAGUCAUGGUUAAGUGGGAAACGAUGUGGGAAGGCCCAGACAGCCAGGAUGUUGGCUUAGAAGCAGCCAUCAUUUAAAGAAAGCGUAAUAGCUCACUGGUCGAGUCGGCCUGCGCGGAAGAUGUAACGGGGCUAAACCAUGCACCGAAGCUGCGGCAGCGACGCUUAUGCGUUGUUGGGUAGGGGAGCGUUCUGUAAGCCUGUGAAGGUGUACUGUGAGGUAUGCUGGAGGUAUCAG